ACCUGGGUGGCUCAGUCGGUUAAGCGGCUGACUUCAGCUCAGGUAAUGAAUGAUCUCCCGGUCCGUGAGUGUGAGUUUGAAUCUCACAUCAGGCU
This 95-nucleotide transfer RNA is filed under the name Felis catus (domestic cat). It matches the Rfam family "tRNA". Rfam says of the family: Transfer RNA (tRNA) molecules are approximately 80 nucleotides in length. The record is from Rfam by way of RNAcentral. Lineage: Eukaryota; Metazoa; Chordata; Mammalia; Carnivora; Felidae.